Rhipicephalus microplus (southern cattle tick) is the source of this 279-nucleotide long non-coding RNA. The record is from RefSeq and is a predicted model, not a curated record. NCBI's taxonomy places the organism in Eukaryota, Metazoa, Arthropoda, Arachnida, Ixodida, Ixodidae.
GCUGGCAUGCGGUCGAGUAAGAGCGUGCCUGUUCUCGCUGGCAUCAGAUGGCAUCGAGUUCUUUGCAAUGCGGUAGACUACUCUCCUUUGCCUUCACCUAUCGAAGCCCAUCUAGUCUCCUUGGCCGGCCUGCGACCUGGACGAGAUGGGCAUCGUAUUCUUCGAAAGCCCCUGGAGAGACGUCACUGUGCUUUUUUGCCAUAACGCAUUUCAUGACCAAGAUGGACCAAGAUGGAAGGCUGUUGUGGCUGGCCAUGCUUCACCUGAGGAUUCAGACAG